Molecule: microRNA precursor, 127 nt
Filed under: Chinchilla lanigera (long-tailed chinchilla)
Lineage: Eukaryota; Metazoa; Chordata; Mammalia; Rodentia; Chinchillidae
Description: miRNA (ENSCLAG00000021318.1)
Source: RNAcentral
GGUUUCUCUGUGCAGUUCAGGUUGACCUUGAGCUCACUUUGUAGCCCAGGCUGGCCUCAAACUCACAACAAUUGUCCUGCCUCAGCCUCCCGAGCGCUGGGAUUACAGGCAUGCGCCACCAUGCCCG